RNAcentral lists this ribosomal RNA (498 nucleotides) under uncultured bacterium. Its description in RNAcentral is "bacterial SSU rRNA". It matches the Rfam family "Bacterial small subunit ribosomal RNA", at positions 30 to 520 of the family's 1533-position model. The record is from RNAcentral.
AUUGAACGCUGGCGGCAUGCCUUACACAUGCAAGUCGAACGGCAGCACGGGAGCAAUCCUGGUGGCGAGCGGCGGACGGGUGAGUAAUGCCUAGGAAUCUGCCUAGUGGUGGGGGAUAACGUUCGGAAACGGACGCUAAUACCGCAUACGUCCUACGGGAGAAAGCGGGGGAUCUUCGGACCUCGCGCCAUUAGAUGAGCCUAGGUCGGAUUAGCUAGUUGGUGAGGUAAUGGCUCACCAAGGCGACGAUCCGUAACUGGUCUGAGAGGAUGAUCAGUCACACUGGAACUGAGACACGGUCCAGACUCCUACGGGAGGCAGCAGUGGGGAAUAUUGGACAAUGGGCGAAAGCCUGAUCCAGCCAUGCCGCGUGUGUGAAGAAGGUCUUCGGAUUGUAAAGCACUUUAAGUUGGGAGGAAGGGUAGUAACCUAAUACGUUGCUACUUUGACGUUACCGACAGAAUAAGCACCGGCUAACUUCGUGCCAGCAGCCGACGG